AUCUUUCGCAAUGGGCGAAAGCCUGACGGAGCAACGCCGCGCGAGUGAUGAAGGGUUUCGGCUCGUAAAACUCUGUUAUUAGGGAAGAACAAAUGUGUACGUAACUGUGCUCAUCUUGACGGUACCUAAUCAGAAAGCCACGGCUAACUACGUGCCAGCAGCCGCGGUAAUACGUAGGUGGCCAGCGUUAUCCGGAAUUAUUGGGCGUAAAGGGAGCGUAGGCGGUUUCUUAAGUCUGAUGUGAAAGCCCACGGCUCAACCGUGGAGGGUCAUUGGAAACUGGGAAACUUGAGUGCAGAAGAGGAAAGUGGAAUUCCAUGUGUAGCGGUGAAAUGCGCAGAGAUAUGGAGGAACACCAGUGGCGAAGGCGACUUUCUGGUCUGUAACUGACGCUGAUGUGCGAAAGCGUGGGGAUCAAACA
This 421-nucleotide ribosomal RNA is filed under the name uncultured bacterium. RNAcentral's name for it is "bacterial SSU rRNA". It matches the Rfam family "Bacterial small subunit ribosomal RNA", at positions 361 to 774 of the family's 1533-position model. The record is from RNAcentral.